GUGAAGUCCCUUGUUUACUGUAUUUGUAAUUAGCCACCAAGAACUUGAGUAACCGGUUUCCGAGGAGAACAUAUAUCCUGAAUCAGUUCCUGGACAUUUGUUUGAGGUCUUGUAAGGGAAACUGAAGGGAAUUGUGUAUUGAACAGGAUGGCUUAGACCUGCUCAACUUCUGAGAAUUGAGGCAAAGUGGGCAAUCCAGAUGUAUCACUUGACUUUCUGACUACUGGAAGAAUUUCCCUUCAUUAUUGCACACCAGGGGUAUCCCACAGUGACAUUUAUUCAUCUGUCAACAUCCUCACAUGGAUAGAACUGCUCAGUUUUCCAGUGGCAAAUGGAAAUGGCUCAUACACUUUAGGACUGCAAGUGAUACUUCUCAU
RNAcentral lists this long non-coding RNA (377 nucleotides) under Homo sapiens (human). Its description in RNAcentral is "non-protein coding LINC02343:11". Lineage: Eukaryota; Metazoa; Chordata; Mammalia; Primates; Hominidae. The record is from RNAcentral.